Molecule: ribosomal RNA, 436 nt
Rfam family: Bacterial small subunit ribosomal RNA
ACGGGAGGCAGCAGUGGGGAAUAUUGGGCAAUGGGCGAAAGCCUGACCCAGCAACGCCGCGUGAAGGAAGAAGGUCUUCGGAUUGUAAACUUCUUUUAUGGGGGACGAACAAAUGACGGUACCUCAUGAAUAAGCCACGGCUAACUACGUGCCAGCAGCCGCGGUAAUACGUAGGUGGCAAGCGUUAUCCGGAUUUACUGGGUGUAAAGGGCGCGUAGGCGGGAAGGCAAGUCAGAUGUGAAAUCCAUGAGCUCAACUCAUGAACUGCAUUUGAAACUGUCUUUCUUGAGUGUCGGAGAGGUAGAUGGAAUUCCUAGUGUAGCGGUGAAAUGCGUAGAUAUUAGGAAGAACACCAGUGGCGAAGGCGAUCUACUGGACGAUAACUGACGCUGAGGCGCGAAAGCGUGGGGAGCAAACAGGAUUAGAUACCCUGGUA